This is a long non-coding RNA of Drosophila rhopaloa, 564 nucleotides long. RefSeq lists it as uncharacterized. The transcript has 3 exons. Lineage: Eukaryota; Metazoa; Arthropoda; Insecta; Diptera; Drosophilidae. The record is from RefSeq and is a predicted model, not a curated record.
GUCGGGUGUAAACAACCGCUUGAUGGCUCGCGUUGGUGGCUGCAGCUCAUCCUCCGGUGGCCAGGCGCGUCUGGAAGAGUGAACAGGAAUAAUAUAACGGAACAGACCAGCUUCUCUGACAGGAGUAUCUCACGAAAGUUAUUGGAUGAAUCUCACAAAGCUGGAGAUCCCAACUGGAUGCUAAUCGACCACUACAUAAACCUAUAGCCUCGGGGAGGUCCGAGGGUCUAGCAAGACUAUGUGGUGGACUGAGCUGGACUGCAUUUUCAUAAUUUCAGGACUACGCGAGCAAAAUGUCGCUUCUCUGACAGGAGUAUCUCACGAAAGUUAUUGGAUGAAUCUCACAAAGCUGGAGAUCCCAACUGGAUCCUAAUCGACCACUACAUAAACCUAUAGCCUCGGGGAGGUCCGAGGGUCUAGCAAGACUAUGUGGUGGACUGAGCUGGACUGCAUUUUCAUAAUUUCAGGACUACGCGAGCAAAAUGUCGGGGAGAGCCAGCAGAAAGGAGCAAAACGAAGCGCAGUAAAUUCCGAUGCACUGGAAUUUAUGCAGCAAAUAUUAAC